UUAUACUAAAAUACAAGUGGGGGGAGGAAUGGUUUGGCCGAUGUGGGACUUAGAAUGGUAUGGCGAGAGCCACACGAUUUGAUUAAGAGGGAAUGACCAUGAUUAAAAGCUGGCGGUUGCCAUUUGUAUCUAGCUGGCGAGCGGCACUUCUUUGCUUUUGUGGACUUGCGUGUUUGUUUUGUGUGGGCUGCACAUGUGUGGCUCAAUUGGCUGCACAUGUGUGGCCCUUUUGUCCAUUUUUGCUCCUUUUCGGUCCGUUUUCACUCCUUUCUUCAACUCGUACACUUUUUAUCUGUUUAUUUAAAAUAUGAGAAAUAAGUAACUAUUUAUAUAGUAAAACUUCGGAAUCGAAAUAAAAACAUAUAAAAUAUAAUAGUGAAUUAACUAAAUAAAUAGCAUCUUUUUAGGUGUAUCAUUAGGUGAGAAGUCAUAAACGGGGCGUUUAUUGAGGGCUUUGAACUAAUACUAUCAUAGUGGAUUCACUCCUGGAUUGGUAUCCCCCAGAGUAGGCUGUUAUGCUGAACUGGGUUAACAAAUAACUGUGUUAUUCUGUUUCGUGCAUUUUAUAUUUCCUUAUUGUUCGUCUAGUUCAGUGUUAAACACAGUGUUGGAUCAUCGGAUCAAACAUACAGUGUUGGAGCAUUGUGUUCAACAUCGUGUUACUAGUGUGCCAGAAUUUCAAUUGGCAUCAGAGCAGGCACCCUGUUCAUGAUUUAGGGUGAGCUCCAGGGAAAAUACUUUCUGGUGAAAUGGACAAGGAAGGAGGAACAGUUUCCAGACCGCCCCUACUGAUAGGGCCUGAGAACUAUGACUAUUGGAAAGCU
Molecule: long non-coding RNA, 824 nt
Filed under: Trifolium pratense (red clover)
Lineage: Eukaryota; Viridiplantae; Streptophyta; Magnoliopsida; Fabales; Fabaceae
Description: long non-coding RNA (TPRA_LNC006557)
Source: RNAcentral